AAAGAGACACAAGGCAGGACAACCAGACAGACACAAACAAGGGACAGGUGAAACCAAUCAGGGAGGAGCAGAGUCAAAAAGUGGCGGGAAAACACAACAAAGUCCAUCCUCACCACCUCCAUCACUAUCUGGUACACUGCUGCCACACCCAAGGACAAGAAGAUGAUAGGCUGCAAUCUGUCAUCUCUCCAGGACCCCAAAGGUUAUAGACGCAUGGCAAAGAGCGGCUGCUUGUCUCUCCUCCGUCAGCAGUGUUUCACCAAGCAGGCGCUGUUUUCCAUUUUCAUAUUGCAAUCAUGAACGGAUUAUAAAUGGAUUAGCUCCAUUAUCAUGCUGGUAAACGUUGCCUUUCUACGUUGCUGAAGUGGGGAAAUGACUGAGGGGCUGACUUGACAAAGGGCAUCGUGGCUGCUCUCCAUCUUCGGAGCUGUCAUCAGUCUCCUUCCCAAUUUCCCAUCAGUUUCUGUGUGACUGCUCCCU
Larimichthys crocea (large yellow croaker) is the source of this 480-nucleotide long non-coding RNA. RefSeq lists it as uncharacterized. The record is from RefSeq and is a predicted model, not a curated record. The transcript is spliced from 3 exons. NCBI's taxonomy places the organism in Eukaryota, Metazoa, Chordata, Actinopteri, Sciaenidae.